GGGCGAUUAGCUCAGUUGGUAGAGCAGCUGAUUCUUAAUCAGCGGGUCAGUGGUUCGAGUCCACUAUCGCCCA
Molecule: transfer RNA, 73 nt
Filed under: Planctomycetes bacterium GWF2_42_9
Lineage: Bacteria; Pseudomonadati; Planctomycetota
Description: tRNA-Lys
Rfam family: tRNA
About the family: Transfer RNA (tRNA) molecules are approximately 80 nucleotides in length. Their secondary structure includes four short double-helical elements and three loops (D, anti-codon, and T loops). Further hydrogen bonds mediate the characteristic L-shaped molecular structure. tRNAs have two regions of fundamental functional importance: the anti-codon, which is responsible for specific mRNA codon recognition, and the 3' end, to which the tRNAs corresponding amino acid is attached (by aminoacyl-tRNA synthetases). tRNAs cope with the degeneracy of the genetic code in two manners: having more than one tRNA (with a specific anti-codon) for a particular amino acid; and 'wobble' base-pairing, i.e. permitting non-standard base-pairing at the 3rd anti-codon position.
Source: RNAcentral